This 705-nucleotide unclassified non-coding RNA is filed under the name Hevea brasiliensis (rubber tree). Lineage: Eukaryota; Viridiplantae; Streptophyta; Magnoliopsida; Malpighiales; Euphorbiaceae. The record is from RNAcentral.
CUUAGAAUUGAUUCUGUGCAAGAUUGCUGUCUUUGGUAUUUCAGCUCUUGGGCUUCGAAGACCACCAGAUAAAGUCCUUUUGUAUUCACCUUUGCUUUCAGUUUGUGCAACUUCUGACCGUUCUGAAGUAGAAUUCUUCUCUUCAUUGAGAAUAUCAGGCUUCAGAGGCUUCAAACUGCUCAACACUUCAACCAUUGUCCUACUUGCACUGAAUUUGCCAUCAUCAUAGACAUAAGAAUCUUCACUGACCUUGUUUAUCUGAAAACAAGAGAUGCAAAGGUAUACCAUCAGGAAAAUGUUCGUGGUUUGCAUUUUCACAAUGAAUAACCAGGCGGCUAUCCGGAAAAUGCCACUGACAUAAAAUUCAAAAGCCUACACUCCAAGCCCAACAAAGAUGAUGGACAUGACCUUGACCAAUCGCCUUUGCAAGCAAUGGACUACUUUGGUGUUCCACUACCACCAGCCAGAAUUUUCCCUGGAUUUUUUAAGUUCCCACAUUUCGGAGACUACAGAGAAAUGAGAUAUUUACCUGGACCUCAUCAAGGCUCACGCCAUUAUCCUGGAGAAAGGAUAAAAAGCUAUCAAAGCUAUCUUCUGUUGGCUGGUAGUGUCCCAUGCAUGGAGAAAUGGACUUAAGAAUUCCAUUCUCUACCGUUAAUCUUCCAGCAGCUAAUGUAGCAGCCCCAGCCAAGAAGCUUGAAUGAU